This 429-nucleotide ribosomal RNA is filed under the name Chloroflexota bacterium. RNAcentral describes it as "Chloroflexi bacterium partial 16S ribosomal RNA". It matches the Rfam family "Bacterial small subunit ribosomal RNA", at positions 355 to 776 of the family's 1533-position model. Lineage: Bacteria; Bacillati; Chloroflexota. The record is from RNAcentral.
UGGGGAAUAUUGCACAAUGGGCGCAAGCCUGAUGCAGCCAUGCCGCGUGUAUGAAGAAGGCCUUCGGGUUGUAAAGUACUUUCAGUCGGGAGGAAGGUGGUAAGGUUAAUAACCUUGGCAAUUGACGUUACCCGCAGAAGAAGCACCGGCUAACUCCGUGCCAGCAGCCGCGGUAAUACGGAGGGUGCAAGCGUUAAUCGGAAUUACUGGGCGUAAAGCGCACGCAGGCGGUCUGUCAAGUCGGAUGUGAAAUCCCCGGGCUCAACCUGGGAACUGCAUUCGAAACUGGCAGGCUAGAGUCUUGUAGAGGGGGGUAGAAUUCCAGGUGUAGCGGUGAAAUGCGUAGAGAUCUGGAGGAAUACCGGUGGCGAAGGCGGCCCCCUGGACAAAGACUGACGCUCAGGUGCGAAAGCGUGGGGAGCAAACAGG